This 66-nucleotide transfer RNA is filed under the name Aleurodicus dispersus. RNAcentral's name for it is "tRNA-Leu". The record is from RNAcentral. Lineage: Eukaryota; Metazoa; Arthropoda; Insecta; Hemiptera; Aleyrodidae.
UUUAAUAUGGCAGAAAAUUGCAAUAAAUUUAAGAUUUAUAGAUAAAGAUUUAUUCUUUUGUUAAAA